RNAcentral lists this long non-coding RNA (1150 nucleotides) under Marmota monax (woodchuck). The record is from RNAcentral. Lineage: Eukaryota; Metazoa; Chordata; Mammalia; Rodentia; Sciuridae.
CUUUCUUUGAAGUGUCUUUGUCUGGUUUAGGAAUCAGGGUGAUGUUGGCCUCAUAGAAUGAAUUUGGAAGAGCUCCCUCUUUUUCUAUUUCCUGAAAUAGCUUGAAAAGUAUUGGUAUUAGUUCUUCUUUAAAGUUUUGUAAAACUCUGCUGUAUAUCCAUCCAGUCCUGGGCUUUUCUUGGUUUGUAGUCUUUUGAUGGCUUCUUCUAUUUCCUCAAUUGAUAUUGGUCUGUUUAAGUUGUGUGUAUAUCCUUCUCACUCAAUCUGGGCAAAUCAUAUGACUUAAAAAAUUUAUUGAUGUCUUCACUAUCUUCUAUUUUAUUGGAAUAUAAGGUUUCAAAAUAAUUUCUAAUUAUCUUCUGUAUUUCUGAAGUGUCUGUUGUGGUAUUUCCUUUUUCAUCCCAUAUGCUAGUAAUUUGAGUUCUCUCUCUUCUUUUCUUCAUUAGCAUGGCUAAGAGUCUGUCAAUCUUAUUUAUUUUUUCAAAGAACCAACUUUUAGUUUUACCAAUUUUUUAAAUUGUUUCUUUUGUUUCAAUUUCAUUGAUUUCAGCUCUGAUUUUAAUUAUUUCUUGCCUUCUACUACAUUUUCUGUUGUUUUGUUCUUCUUUUUCUAGGGUUUUGAGAUGAAGUGUGAGAUCAUUUAUUUGUUGUUUUUUUCUUCUUUUGAGGAAUGAACUCCAAGCAAUGAAUUUUCCUCUUAGAACUGCUUUCAUUGUGUCCCAUAGAUUUUAAUAUGUUGUGUCUGUGUUUUAAUUUAUCUGUAAGAAUUUUUUGACUUGCUCCUUGAUGUCUUCUGUAACCCAUUGAUCAUUCAGUAACAUAUUGUUCAUUCUCCAAGUGAUGUAGGAUUUUUCCUUCCUUCUUUUAUCAUUUAUUUCCAGUUUCAUUCCAUUGUGAUCAGAUAAGAUGCACGGUAUUAUCUCCACUCCUUUAUAAUUUCUAAGAAUUGCCCUAUGGCAUAAUAUAUGGUCUAUAUUUGAGAAGGCUCCAUAUGCUGCUGAGAAAAAAGUAUAUCCACUUGAUGUUGGUUGAUAUAUUCUAUAUUAUGUCGGUUAAGUCUAAGUUAUUAAUUGUGUUAUUGAGUUCUAUAGUUUCUUUAUUCAACUUUUGUUUGGAAGAUCUGUCCAAUGGUGAGAGAGAUGUGUUGAAG